AGAGUUUGAUUAUGGCUCAGGAUGAACGCUGGCGGCGUGCUUAACACAUGCAAGUCGAACGGAGUUUUAAACGGAAGUUUUCGGAUGGAAGUUUAGAAACUUAGUGGCGGACGGGUGAGUAACGCGUGGGUAACCUGCCUCAUACAGGGGGAUAACAGUUAGAAAUGACUGCUAACACCGUAUAAUAUAGCGAAACCGCAUGAUUUUGCUAUCAAAUAUUUAUAGGUAUGAGAUGGGCCCGCGUCUGAUUAGCUAGUUGGUGGGGUAAAAGCCUACCAAGGCGACGAUCAGUAGCCGGCUUGAGAGAGUGACCGGCCACAUUGGGACUGAGACACGGCCCAAACUCCUACGGGAGGCAGCAGUGGGGAAUAUUGGACAAUGGGGGAAACCCUGAUCCAGCGAACCGCCGCGUGAGUGAAGAAGUAUUUCGGUAUGUAAAGCUCUAUCAGCAGGGAAGAUAAUGACAGUACCUGACUAAGAAGCCCCGGCUAACUACGUGCCAGCCGCUGC
This 510-nucleotide ribosomal RNA is filed under the name uncultured bacterium. Its description in RNAcentral is "bacterial SSU rRNA". It matches the Rfam family "Bacterial small subunit ribosomal RNA", at positions 8 to 518 of the family's 1533-position model. The record is from RNAcentral.